AUUGAACGCUGGCGGCAUGCCUAACACAUGCAAGUCGAACGAGUGGCGGACGGGUGAGUAAUGUCUGGGAAACUGCCUGAUGGAGGGGGAUAACUACUGGAAACGGUAGCUAAUACCGCAUACCAUCGGAUGUGCCCAGUUGGGAUUAGCUAGUGGGUGGGGUAAAGGCUCACCUAGGCGACGAUCCCUAGCUGGUCUGAGAGGAGGACGGGCCACACGGGAACUGAGACACGGUCCAGACUCCUACGGGGUGCGGCAGUGGGGAAUAUUGCACAAUGGGCGCAAGCCUGAUGCAGCCAUGCCGCGUGUAUGAAGAAGGCCUUCGGGUUGUAAGAUACUUUCAGCGGGGAGGCGUUACCCGCAGAAGAAGCACCGGCUAACUCCGUGCCAGCCGCCGCGGUAAUUC
RNAcentral lists this ribosomal RNA (406 nucleotides) under uncultured bacterium. Its description in RNAcentral is "partial 16S ribosomal RNA". It matches the Rfam family "Bacterial small subunit ribosomal RNA", at positions 30 to 526 of the family's 1533-position model. The record is from RNAcentral.